AACAACCUACUGUCUUAUGGUACCUGAGUUAGGUUCUAAUAAGAAAUAUCUUCAUCCCUCCCAAGGAUGGUAUUACUAAUGACCACAACAGACCUGAGCAUCAUUGCACUAGAGACUGAGCUCCCAGGUUAGGAAGCUUCACGGGACAUGCUUAAACCCCAUCCAGACUGCAGUGGCCCUCAACUUGUCUCCAGAGUGUGGUGUAUCGGAAAGAGUUUUUUCCAAGAUCUCAUUAUCAUCGUCUCCAUUCCACUGAUGAAGAUGACGCUCAGGGAGCUGAAGUAUCUUGUGCCAUGGUUACCCUACCUCCUUGAAAAUGACUCCAGCACGGGAAGUGGGAACGCCGAUUCUGCUUGCUAACCUUGAGCAAGACACUCAGCUCCUCAAACUUCUUUUUGUCAGUACUAGAUAUCAGACCCAGGGUCUUGUGCAUGCUAAGCAAUUACUC
Long non-coding RNA from Alexandromys fortis (reed vole), 448 nucleotides. RefSeq lists it as uncharacterized. The transcript is spliced from 3 exons. The record is from RefSeq and is a predicted model, not a curated record. Lineage: Eukaryota; Metazoa; Chordata; Mammalia; Rodentia; Cricetidae.